UUUUGAUUUAGUAUAUCUCUGGCAUGCUUUCAUUGUAGGAAACACUUGUGCAUGUUAGUUUCCAAAACUUCCUACUGAAGGAUGUGCUCUUCAAGAAACCAGAUGAUAAUCUCAUUAAAAUAUGAGGCAGUAGAAAAAUGUGUCUACAGUUUCACAGCUUUCACCAAACCAGCAAUUGGAUGUUGCAAGGUGGGAAACAAUCACAGCAAGAUGGAAAGGAUGCUCCUGGCGCUCGGAUCAAGAUGAUUGCUGGUUUUGUGCCUCAUCAGUCUGGGCCUGGAGCGUGGCUUGAGACUUCUCAGUCCUGGUUUGGCUUUCUCUGGAACUGGUGUAUAUAUGGAGAUCUAUGUUUUAUUUGUUGUUUGUCUUUUCCCACAAUGCUACCACAGGUGUAGCUUUCAGCUAGUCUGGGAGAUAUGCUAGGAUCAUUGAUUAUAUAUUUAAGAUAGAACUUGUUUUAAGGUGUUGAUGAUUCAUAAGAAAUGCGUGGUUGUCCUGGUUUAGCACCCUGUUCUGCACCCUGUUGUCUCUUCUCUAAAGCAGAAAUCAUAAUUAAAAAGAGAAAAACAACCCAUACCAGCAAAUUAAAUUAUAAUUAUUUAUUGUUAAACACAAAUUUAAAUCUGAUGAUUGUUUGCCUGCAUAAUUAUUUGUCCCAAAUAUUAUUUUAUAUUGAAAAGACUUUGGAGGAUUGUUUGUGAUUUAUUUUUUUUUAAGAAAAUGAGAUAUGCAGUUACGUCGUGCUGUGUAAAUAACUGUCUAUUCCAAUACUUGUCAAGUUUCGAUAAAAUUUUUGUUCAUGUAUCUCAUGAUCUCAGUAAAGUAUUUCUCAUAUUACUCUCUGAGCUAAUGAUUAUUUGUGUUUGUAGAUGAGGUAUUCAAGCAGAUCAGGUAACAUGUCUGUGCUCACAUUAAGUCUGUUCUACAGUUGGAAAUUCAUCCUGAUUCCUCUAAAAUCCUUGGCUGUCAGCCUAACCACUUAAAGUUUACUUCCCCUGAGAUAAAGCCACCCUAAACCAGUUUUAAGCUGUAUUUAAGCCCUCUGACAUACUGUAAGAGAUAAUACAGCUUUUGACUUCUUACUUUUCUGCUGUUUUGGGAUACUCAUUAUUGAGGGACUGGAAGGGGAUAGAUAGAUCUCUAGAUUCCUGCUGAAAUCCACAUAUGAGCUGGAAGCUGCAUGUACUGUGCAUCUCUCCUUCAUGCACUUCAAAGAUGAAAUAGGGGCUGUAGAUGUAACUUAUAAUGAAACCCAUUUACAAUAUUACCCACUUAUUCUAUGUUUGAUUUUUUUUUUAACCUUAAAACUUGUAGUAAUAAAGGUUUUGUGAAUAAAGAACUGCCUGUGUUG
Molecule: long non-coding RNA, 1351 nt
Filed under: Lepidothrix coronata (blue-crowned manakin)
Lineage: Eukaryota; Metazoa; Chordata; Aves; Passeriformes; Pipridae
Description: lncRNA (ENSLCOG00000000777.1)
Source: RNAcentral